This 739-nucleotide ribosomal RNA is filed under the name uncultured prokaryote. RNAcentral describes it as "bacterial SSU rRNA". It matches the Rfam family "Bacterial small subunit ribosomal RNA", at positions 729 to 1482 of the family's 1533-position model. The record is from RNAcentral.
CUGGACUGUAACUGACGCUGAGGCACGAAAGCGUGGGGAUCAAACAGGAUUAGAUNCCCUGGUANNCCACGCCGUAAACGAUGAAUGCUAGCUGUUAGCGAUAUACUGUUAGCGGCACAGAGAAAUCGUUAAGCAUUCCACCUGGGGAGUACGCCGGCAACGGUGAAACUCAAAGGAAUUGACGGGGNNCCGCACAAGCGGAGGAACAUGUGGUUUAAUUCGAUGAUACGCGAGGAACCUUACCUGGGCUUAAAUUGCAGUGGAAUAACGUGGAAACAUGUUAGCCUUCGGGCCGCUGUGAAGGUGCUGCAUGGUUGUCGUCAGCUCGUGCCGUGAGGUGUCGGCUUAAGUGCCAUAACGAGCGCAACCCUCAUCGAUAGUUACUAACAGGUUAAGCUGAGGACUCUAUCGAGACUGCCGACGUAAGUCGUGAGGAAGGUGGGGAUGACGUCAAAUCAGCACGGCCCUUACGUCCAGGGCUACACACGUGUUACAAUGGGGGGUACAAAGGGCAGCUACCUGGCGACAGGAUGCUAAUCUCAAAAACCUCUCUCAGUUCGGAUUGGAGUCUGCAACCCGACUCCAUGAAGCUGGAUUCGCUAGUAAUCGCGCAUCAGCCACGGCGCGGUGAAUACGUUCCCGGGCCUUGUACACACCGCCCGUCAAGCCAUGGGAGCCGGGGGGACCUGAAGUAUGCAACCGUAAGGAGCGUCCUAGGGUAAAACUGGUGACUGGGGCU